This 248-nucleotide non-coding RNA is filed under the name Roseburia sp. Its description in RNAcentral is "T-box sequence". It matches the Rfam family "T-box leader". Rfam says of the family: Uncharged tRNA acts as the effector for transcription antitermination of genes in the T-box leader family. T-boxes are found upstream of many aminoacyl-tRNA synthetase genes and some amino acid biosynthetic genes usually in Gram-positive bacteria. The anticodon of a specific tRNA base pairs to a specifier sequence within the T-box motif, and the NCCA acceptor tail of the tRNA base pairs to a conserved bulge in the T-box antiterminator hairpin. The record is from RNAcentral. Lineage: Bacteria; Bacillati; Bacillota; Clostridia; Lachnospirales; Lachnospiraceae.
GAAAACACUGGGAAAAAGAAAGUACAUCAGCAGAAUCUUUACAGAGAAAUUUCCGGUAAGGCUGAGAGGAAAUGAGGGAAAGCGGAUGGAAGAUGGCUUUGGAGUGGCAGAGACGAACUGGAGAUAAAUGCAUGAGCAAUCAAAGGCCAGGCUCUGACGGGACCGCCUGUUAUUGCGGACAAUGAGGCUGAUAUCGUUGGGUAUCAGUGAAUAGAAGUGGUAUCACGGGAUUAUAGCUCGUCUUCUGG